ACCUUUAAAGCUUUGAAGAAGCAUCGAAUUUUUAAUUCGAAGAGAAUAGGAAUAUUUAAAGGUA
Molecule: transfer RNA, 64 nt
Filed under: Physconelloides eurysema
Lineage: Eukaryota; Metazoa; Arthropoda; Insecta; Psocodea; Philopteridae
Description: tRNA-Lys
Source: RNAcentral